This 64-nucleotide transfer RNA is filed under the name Panulirus longipes. Its description in RNAcentral is "tRNA-Ala". Lineage: Eukaryota; Metazoa; Arthropoda; Malacostraca; Decapoda; Palinuridae. The record is from RNAcentral.
AGGAUCAUAGUCAACCAUGAUAUGUAACUUGCACUUACAAGGUGUUAAAUCUUAACUGAUCUUA